GGAAGAGACUCGGUCCCGGUGGGCCGGCCGGCCUUCAAAGCCGGUCGGGGCGGCUGGACGCGGCCCCGGGCGGGUUCGACUCCCGCUCUCUUCCG
Molecule: transfer RNA, 95 nt
Filed under: Elioraea sp.
Lineage: Bacteria; Pseudomonadati; Pseudomonadota; Alphaproteobacteria; Acetobacterales; Elioraeaceae
Description: tRNA-Sec
Rfam family: Selenocysteine transfer RNA
Source: RNAcentral